Molecule: ribosomal RNA, 2022 nt
Filed under: human gut metagenome
Description: bacterial LSU rRNA
Rfam family: Bacterial large subunit ribosomal RNA
Source: RNAcentral
GACCGAUAGCGAACCAGUACUGUGAAGGAAAGGCGAAAAGAACCCCGGGAGGGGAGUGAAAUAGAUCCUGAAACCGCAUACAUACAAACAGUAGGAGCCCGCAAGGGUGACUGCGUACCUUUUGCAUAAUGGGUCAGCGACUUACGUUCAAUGGCAAGCUUAACCGAGUAGGGGAGGCGCAGCGAAAGCGAGUCCGAACAGGGCGAUAUGAGUCGUUGGGCGUAGACCCGAAACCAGAUGAUCUAUCCAUGGCCAGGCUGAAGGUGUGGUAACACACACUGGAGGGCCGAACCGACUAGUGUUGCAAAAUUAGCGGAUGAGCUGUGGAUAGGGGUGAAAGGCUAAACAAAUCUGGAGAUAGCUGGUUCUCCCCGAAAACUAUUGAGGUAGUGCCUCGUGUAUGGCUCCAGGGGGUAGAGCACUGUUAUGGCUAGGGGGACAUGGCGUCUUACCAAACCAUGGCAAACUCCGAAUACUUGGAAGUCUGAGCACGGGAGACAGAGCACCGGGUGCUAACGUCCGGACUCAAAAGGGAAACAACCCAGACCGCCGGCUAAGGUCCCUAAUAUUGACUAAGUGGAAAACGAAGUGGGAAGGCUAAGACAGUCAGGAAGUUGGCUUAGAAGCAGCCAUCCUUCAAAGAAAGCGUAAUAGCUCACUGAUCGAGUCUUCCUGCGCGGAAGAUGUAACGGGGCUAAGUCAAUAACCGAAGCCGCGGAUUCGCAGCAAUGCGAGUGGUAGGGGAGCGUUCUGUAAGCCUGCGAAGGCGGAUCUGCGAGGACCGCUGGAGGUAUCAGAAGUGCGAAUGCUGACAUGAGUAACGUUAAAGCGGGUGAAAAGCCCGCUCGCCGCAAGCCCAAGGUUUCCUGCUCUACGUUCAUCGGAGCAGGGUGAGUCGGCCCCUAAGGUCAGGCUGAGAAGCGUAGCUGAUGGGAAGCUGGUUAAUAUUCCAGCACCGAUUUCAAGUGCGAAGGGGGGACGGAGUCCUGAAGGUCAUCCGGGUGUUGGACAUCCCGGUUUACGAGCGUAGGAGGUUGACAGGCAAAUCCGUCAACGGAUCUCCAAGGCGAAGGAUCGAGGUUGAGAGAUCAACUGAAGUGACUGAAUGGGCUUCCAGGAAAAGCCUCUAAGCAUCAGCUUGGAAUUGACCGUACCGCAAACCGACACUGGUGGGCGAGCUGAAUAUGCUCAGGCGCUUGAGAGAACUCAGGAGAAGGAACUCGGCAAAUUGACACCGUAACUUCGGGAUAAGGUGUGCCUUUGUAGUGUGAAGGGAGAAACACCCCGAGCAUGAAGAGGCCUCAGAGAAUCGGUGGCUGCAACUGUUUACUAAAAACACAGCACUCUGCAAAGAUGAAAGUCGACGUAUAGGGUGUGAUGCCUGCCCGGUGCUGGAAGAUUAAUUGAUGGGGUGCAAGCUCCUGAUCGAAGUCCCAGUAAACGGCGGCCGUAACUAUAACGGUCCUAAGGUAGCGAAAUUCCUUGUCGGGCAAGUUCCGACCUGCACGAAUGGCAUAAUGAUGGCCACACUGUCUCCUCCUGAGACUCAGUGAAGUUGAAAUGUUUGUGAUGAUGCAAUCUCCCCGCGGCUAGACGGAAAGACCCCAUGAACCUUUACUGCAGCUUUGCAUUGGACUUUGAACCGAUCUGUGUAGGAUAGGUGGGAGGCAGUGAAGCUAGGACGCCAGUCUUAGCGGAGCCAACCUUGAAAUACCACCCUGAUUUGUUUGAGGUUCUAACCUAGGAGCGUAAUCCGCUUCGGGGACCGUGCAUGGUAGGCAGUUUGACUGGGGCGGUCUCCUCCUAAAGGGUAACGGAGGAGUGCGAAGGUACGCUAGGUACGGUCGGAAAUCGUGCUGAUAGUGCAAUGGCAAAAGCGUGCUUGACUGCGAGACCGACAAGUCGAGCAGAUACGAAAGUAGGUCAUAGUGAUCCGGUGGCUCUGCAUGGAAGGGCCAUCGCUCAACGGAUAAAAGGUACUCUGGGGAUAACAGGCUGAUACCGCCCAAGAGUUCAUAUCGA